UCUUCGAAUCCAUGCAAAGCU
Molecule: non-coding RNA, 21 nt
Organism: Caenorhabditis elegans
Lineage: Eukaryota; Metazoa; Nematoda; Chromadorea; Rhabditida; Rhabditidae
Source: Ensembl